GUCUCCCGCCCUGUCUUUGCCAUCCCCUCAGUCCCCAGAAACCGUGGAAUCUGGAUCCCGCUAGUUGCGCCCAACCAGGCGAGGGAGAAGUUUAGGGGCGCACAGGAGCAGGACCCCGGAGGCACUGUCCUAAGCCCUUGCCUGCAUCAUUUCGUUCACUGUGUUGAUUCUAUGAGAGCCCUGCAAGGGAGUCCUAUUAUUAUCCCCCAUUUUACAGCUGAGGAGACUUGAAGCACAGAAAAGGUGCUACAACACAGAACAGGCAGGGCCUACACACUUGGUUGGAAGGCCCCAGGUCUAGUGUUGGGAUCUGGUUUUUGGAGAACCUGGAACCCGGGCAUCAUUAGUCCUGGAAAAGGUACCAACUGUCCGCAAACAGCCCAGCCCACUCUGGAAGCCUGGCCUCAGCCAAGAGCAGCACUUGAAAAUUCUGAUUCUGCGGUCACCUUCCCUAACCACAAGCCCUUCAUCAGCCCAAGCCUCUAAACCAGCCAGGUGAUGUGUCACCGCCUGGAGGGUGUUGGUGUGGCAGCACCUGGGGUUAAAAGGGACCCUCAGUUUCCAGCAAAGUUUCAUAGUCUUUGUUAGAGCUGGGAGGAAACUCAGAGGUCCCCCAACCAGAGAGUCUAAAUUACUGGAAUCAAGAAGGUCUGGAAUGGGCCUGGAAUCUGAAUAUUAAUAAGCACACACCCCACCGCAUGAGAAAUGGUUUGGCCCAGCGACCUUGCCCUCGUGGAGAAGCUGAGCCUGAGAGGGGACAUGACUGGCCCACGAUGACAAGAGAGAACUGGAUGAAAGCCUGGCUCUCUGGACCCUGGCAUAGGAUGUUUUCCAACCCAGCUGCCUGUCAAGUCUCACUUGGCAGGAGCUGGGGAGGGAGAGUUCCCACCGAAGUCUUUCGUGAGUCUGUCCCCCCAUGUCUCCUUCAGAGGUCCUGUCAAUCACACGAGAACCAUCCACUCUCCUGGAAAUGGCCUCUAAAAAAAAUGAGGUUGAAGAGUCUUGGACUGCCCAGGGCCUCCCCAAGGCCAAGGUGAGGGACCAAGACAAUGUUUGGGGCUAUAUCCAUGGAGGGUCACACAUACGGAAAUAACCACUACAUUGGUGGAAAAUUUUGGUCUGAUUGAGAAUAACCUCUCUAUGCACCAGCGCCUAGCACAGCACCUGGUACAGGGGAGG
Long non-coding RNA from Manis javanica (Malayan pangolin), 1179 nucleotides. RefSeq lists it as uncharacterized. Lineage: Eukaryota; Metazoa; Chordata; Mammalia; Pholidota; Manidae. The record is from RefSeq and is a predicted model, not a curated record.